CAAUAGCGUAUAUUUAAGUUGUUGUAGUUAAAAAGCUCGUAGUUGGAUUUCGGGUGGGACGCAGCGGUCUCGCAUUGCGUUUGUACUGCUGCAGCCCUCCUUCUUGCCGGGGGCGGCCUCUCGGACUUCACUGUCUGGGGGUCAGAAUCGGCGAUGUUACUUUGAGUAAAUUAGAGUGUUCAAAGCAAGCUUACGCUCUGAAUAUAAUAGCAUGGGAUAACACGACAGGACUCUGGCCUAUCGUGUUGGUCUAUAGGACCAGAGUAAUGAUUAAGAGGGACAGUCGGGGGCAUUCGUAUUCCGUUGUCAGAGGUGAAAUUCUUGGAUUUACGGAAGACGAACAUCUGCGAAAGCAUUUGCCAAGGAUGUUUUCAUUGA
Molecule: ribosomal RNA, 378 nt
Filed under: uncultured eukaryote
Lineage: Eukaryota
Description: partial 18S ribosomal RNA
Rfam family: Eukaryotic small subunit ribosomal RNA
Source: RNAcentral